AAGGCGCUAGUAGAAUAGUAUUACACUGCCUUGUCAAGGCAGAAUUGUGGGUUUAAACCCCACGUGCCUUG
This 71-nucleotide transfer RNA is filed under the name Carinotetraodon travancoricus. Its description in RNAcentral is "tRNA-Asp". It matches the Rfam family "tRNA". From Rfam's summary of the family: Transfer RNA (tRNA) molecules are approximately 80 nucleotides in length. Their secondary structure includes four short double-helical elements and three loops (D, anti-codon, and T loops). Further hydrogen bonds mediate the characteristic L-shaped molecular structure. tRNAs have two regions of fundamental functional importance: the anti-codon, which is responsible for specific mRNA codon recognition, and the 3' end, to which the tRNAs corresponding amino acid is attached (by aminoacyl-tRNA synthetases). tRNAs cope with the degeneracy of the genetic code in two manners: having more than one tRNA (with a specific anti-codon) for a particular amino acid; and 'wobble' base-pairing, i.e. permitting non-standard base-pairing at the 3rd anti-codon position. Lineage: Eukaryota; Metazoa; Chordata; Actinopteri; Tetraodontiformes; Tetraodontidae. The record is from RNAcentral.